This is a non-coding RNA of Chiloscyllium plagiosum (whitespotted bambooshark), 518 nucleotides long. Lineage: Eukaryota; Metazoa; Chordata; Chondrichthyes; Orectolobiformes; Hemiscylliidae. The record is from RefSeq and is a predicted model, not a curated record.
UCAGUGUUUUUACCUAGUUUCAUUGUGAGAUCAUGACUGGGGCUUAGAAAUUGCAUUUCAUGCAAUAACGAAACCCUGUGAAUGGCGGUGCAGCCUCUGCCUCUAUGUACCAUUUACACAAUAAUGGAUGAGAGACAGGAUGCUGCUGAAUAAUCAAGCAAGUGAAAGGAACAGGAUGUGAAUGUUAAUGAAUGAGAGACCCAGCAAGAGAAAGCACGUCAGCACUAUUAGAUGUAAGUGAAUGCUGACAGAGUAAGCAAGUGAGAGACUGAAUGUGACUGAAAGAUAACAGACAGGCAGACUGAUACCUCCCAUUAUUGUCUCCAAGGAGCUGCAAUUUGCAAAACUUGCAACCAGUCAGCCUCCAGGACAAUGGACACACAGGCCAAUCUUCAGCAUGUGCAGUUUGAUAUAGGUGACAACUUUGUGGAACACUGAAGACAGGUUUCAUUGUAUUACAUUCUGUGAAGACCCAACUCAUAUUCAAAUAAAAGUUAUUGUAAAUUCUAUUUUAAAAA